CUGCAUAUCUCCUUUUCUUGUUAGCUCUUCUUCUUUUGCGCUCAGCUUGUGUAAGUUCUGCUUCUUCUUUAACAUCACCUUUUCCUUCAAAAAUUUCUUCAGGAGCAAGCAUUGCAGCAUCUGAAACAGCUACAGGAUUUUAUUUACCUCCUCCAUUGCUAGAGCUGGUACAUUUGCUUGUAUAGACAUAUCUUCAAUGACCGGCUUUGGAGCAAAGUGGAAAUGAGAUAGUGCAUCCAACUUCAAGCAUAUUCUCUUAAAUAAGCGAUUAAACUCACCUCGUUCUUAAGUUCAUCUGAAAUAGAAAGUGGUGCAGGUGCAAGGCCAGCUUUUUGCGCAUAAUCAUCCUUGCAAACCUCAUAUAGUUCAGCAAGACCCUUCUUGCUCUUACUUUCAUCCUAUCCUUUUGUUCCUUUGGGGAUUUAAAUUGCAAGGGAGAAGGCUUUUCAACAUCGAAACAACACACAUACCUCUAUUAUUCUUUUCUUUAUCAUCUCUUCAAGAGAAGCAGUGACUUCCUCAGUGAUUACUGGGGCAGGUCUUACAUUGUGCUCAAAAUCAAGGUCCACUUCUAGAGCACUAUUUUUGGGUCUGCUGGAAGCAUUAACCUCUCCCUGCAUGGUCCACGUACUAGGUUCAAGAUUAGCUUUCUCCAUUUCCUCUAUUUUAGCAUGCAUCUUCAGGCGCGCCUUCUCGUGAGUUGACAAACCCUUACUUGACUAACAUUUCCAUCAUCAUUUUUGUCAUCAACUUCUGGUUUAUCUGGUUCAUCCUUGAAUUGAACUUUCUUGGAGCCACCUUUCUUCCUUACUUUUUGGUCAUCCGCUUCCUGAAAAAAAUCCUUAUAC
RNAcentral lists this small RNA (848 nucleotides) under Oryza sativa Japonica Group (Japanese rice). RNAcentral describes it as "sRNA Os11g0137150". The record is from RNAcentral. Lineage: Eukaryota; Viridiplantae; Streptophyta; Magnoliopsida; Poales; Poaceae.